RNAcentral lists this long non-coding RNA (274 nucleotides) under Erythranthe guttata (spotted monkey flower). RNAcentral describes it as "long non-coding RNA (EGUT_LNC002525)". The record is from RNAcentral. Lineage: Eukaryota; Viridiplantae; Streptophyta; Magnoliopsida; Lamiales; Phrymaceae.
AAUUAAUUGAAUUAACAAAUAUCAAAUGAUGUCCUAAAUUUCAUAAAUCUUUACUCUCCCAUAAUUACGUAUUUUUAAUCCUUUUAAAAAAAUCCUGAUAAAAUCUGUUUCAUAUUGUCAUAGCAAGUACCACGAAAUGAAUAAAAGAUGUAUUUACCUUCUGAAUAGGAGGCAGUCUCCUAUACCCAGAAUUCUGCAAUAAUAUCAAUACAUAAGUGCUAAAUGAACAAAUAAAAAUUGCAAAUAAAAUAAAAUAAUAAUGAUAAUAAUAAAA